Molecule: long non-coding RNA, 587 nt
Organism: Anguilla anguilla (European eel)
Lineage: Eukaryota; Metazoa; Chordata; Actinopteri; Anguilliformes; Anguillidae
Exons: 3
Source: RefSeq, a predicted model, not a curated record
GCGCCGUUCUCCGGAUACAGCGUACACUGAACGAGCAAUCGAUAGAAGCCAUAUACCAGUCAUCGCUCAACCUGAAAACCAUACUAACUACUUUAAUCGAAAGGGGUGGCAUUCUGUUAUCUUGCAAGCAGUUGUGGACCACAGAUUUUGUUUCACAAACAUCAACAUAGGAUGGCCCGGAAGUGUCUACAACUCCAGGGUUCUUCAGAAACAGCACAGAGGAGAUCACAGGCACACAAGUGUCCAUCAUGCUGCUGGGGGAUCCAGCUUACCCACUUCGGUCAUGGCUGAUGAAGGGUUACCCUGACACUGGGAAUCUGACCGAAGACCAGCAUUACUUCAACCAGAGAUUAAGCGGGGCUAGAAUGUCAGUGGAGCGUGCAUUUGGUCGAUUAAAGGGUCGAUGGAGUUGCCUGGCAAAACGUCUCGAUGUAGACAUAUCAUUGGUCCCUACAAUCAUCUCUGCAUGCUGCACUCUGCAUAAUAUAUGUGAAAAACACAAGGAGCCAUACAGUGAGGAUCCCAAUGCAGCUGGACCUCCUGACAUACCAGCAGAGGCCGUUGACCCGUUGGGUGUUGUAGACACC